AUUGAACGCUGGCGGCAUGCCUUACACAUGCAAGUCGAACGGUAACAGGUCUUCGGAUGCUGACGAGUGGCGAACGGGUGAGUAAUACAUCGGAACGUGCCUAGUAGUGGGGGAUAACUACUCGAAAGAGUGGCUGAUACCGCAUGAGAUCUACGGAUGAAAGCAGGGGAUCGCAAGACCUUGUGCUACUAGAGCGGCCGAUGGCAGAUUAGGUAGUUGGUGGGAUAAAAGCUUACCAAGCCGACGAUCUGUAGCUGGUCUGAGAGGACGAUCAGCCAAACUGGGACUGAGACACGGCCCAGACUCCUACGGGAGGCAGCAGUGGGGAAGUUUGGACAAUGGGCGAAAGCCUGAUCCAGCAAUGCCGCGUGCAGGAUGAAGGCCUUCGGGUUGUAAACUGCUUUUGUACGGAACGAAAAGCCCUGGGUUAAUACCCUGGGGUCAUGACGGUACCGUAAGAAUAAGCACCGGCUAACUACGUGCCAGCCGCCGCGGUAA
RNAcentral lists this ribosomal RNA (498 nucleotides) under uncultured bacterium. Its description in RNAcentral is "partial 16S ribosomal RNA". It matches the Rfam family "Bacterial small subunit ribosomal RNA", at positions 30 to 523 of the family's 1533-position model. The record is from RNAcentral.